UUGCUUUUUAAAGAAACUCAAAACUUUAAUGAGGAGCUGCAGGGGGUUAACGUGAAAUCCAUUCCGAAUGUUUGAUCCUCACCAUGUUGUCUCCAGGGUGUGCCCUGCACGGGUCCAGUGGGGAGGAGAGUGACAAAUACAGUCAAUGAUAUUUGCAAUAGAAGAAGGAGGAGAUAAAAGGAUGUUGCGCUGCAAGGAUUUUGAUAGCUCACCGGAAUUGUAGAUAUCUAAUCGAUUUGGAAUAGGACUCUCUAAUAUCUCCAAGUUGGUGUUGAGUUUUCUAAAAAUUACUAAUUGUCAACCCGCUGCUUAUCCCCUUGCACUGAAGAUGAACAAAAACAAGAGUGUGUAUACCUGAGACCGUUCUGGAAGAGACAUGGAGGAGGCAACCUUGACUCUGACACCUUCUUCUAGACAAUGCAGUUGCUAGACUAUUCUUGCUCUUGUUGACAGGGAUAUAAUGAGGAAGAGGGAGCCUGCUGCCCUGGGUUGGAAGCCUAUGUGUGAAGUUUUCUUCCUUCCUUCCUUAUUUCCUCCCCCCCUUUCCUUUCUUUCUCUCUCUUUUGAUGUUAGAGGUAUGGAUUACCAAGCAGGGGGAAUGAAUAAAUGGGGAGAUACCGAAACAGGGGACUAACUUGGGGUGGACCAGGGGGCCAGGGAAGGCCAGAGCCCUGGGUCAGCCGUGGAGGAGGGGGCUUGGCUGCUUCCAUAGGAUGGAGAUGUAAGUGCAAGAGAGAAGAAAGCCGUUGUGAGGCCAACAACAUGGUGGCUGGAUAGAUCCACAAAAUAUAAAGAACAUUUAAUUUUAAGUCAGAGCCACCAGGCUUUCCACAGAUUCAUUGGGCGAUUUUAGGGCAGUGUCUUCAUUUGUGUUUCCCUAGAAGCAGACCUUGAGUCAAAGAGUUGAGGCAAGUGGCUAAUUUGGAGUAGAUUCUAUCAAGUACGUGUAGGACAAUAGGAAAAUAAGAUAGGGAAGAGAAGGCAGAGAGGAUAGGGUGAAUUUUAAAGAAAGUUAGCACAGUAGGAACUGGAUCUCAGGUCCACUGGGGAACUUCGAGAGCUCCAGAGUUAUCCCACCAAAUCCCAUCAGCCAUGGUUGGAGGCUUCUACAGGGAAGAGGUCUGGCAAUUCUAGGCUGCUCUACAGGAAGCCAGGGUAAGCUUCUUCAGGCAGUGAGUCACAGGUGUCGGCAGUCAGCUGGAAGUCUGGCCAAAAUGCAAGGAAAUAUUAAGAGAUGGGAGGAUAUUACAAAGACACAGCCAGUGUUGUUACAGGAAGUCAAUUAACAUUCUAAUUCUGUUUUUCCACUUUUAAAGUGAGAAUCCUAAUAUUUGUUCUUGGACAUGUUGAAAUGGAAGUGAUGGCAUUGGCUGGCAUCCAGAAUCCCAAACACCUCGCCCUUUGGAAGUGUCACUUGCCCUUUGGAGAUGUUCAUGGUGUGCGUUGGUGUACAUAUGUAUAAAAACAGGCUGAGAAAAGGAACCCCUUAUGGAAUCUCAUCUUAUUGCACUGAACUACACUAUAUAGAUUGGCAGAGCCCAAGUCCGGGGAAGCAGCAUAUACCUGGGGAAACUCUUCUUCCACAACCCAGUACCUAUUAGUCCAAAGCUACUUGAGCCCUGGGAACAGCAAUGCCAGAGACACUGAUAUCAUCCAGCCAGCAAGCAGAAUUCUCUGAAGGUCCUUCCGACAGUGCAUCGUCGCCUCCCUUGCCUCCUUACAAUGCUGUCAUCUGCUCCUUGGAAGGAAUGAACACAUCUCGGCACCCCCCACUCAAAUAACACCACAGCUUCUUGAUUCCAUCUACUUUCCUACACAAGGGAAAGCUGUGCACAACCGGGGGAAGGAAGUCCCAGACUCCACACAGGGGAUUUCCGUAGGGUCUUCUAUAACUGAGGCCACUGGUAACUAGCCUGUAGCCAGUAUGGUGACUGAAAGUAGAUGGAGGUGCGCUUCUAGAUCGGUUCUUAGACCCAUGGGUUAAAGCCUCCUGCCUCGCCUGUGACUCAGGGUCCGUCCAGUGAGGUUCCCAGGUUCAGAACACGCUCCCUCCUGAGCGAGGAGGGGUGCUGACACUAGAUGGCAGGAAAGGGUCAGUUUGCCUGUCUCGACCCCCACCAGGGCUCCUGUCUCCUUUAGUUAAAGGCAAGCUCCUGGACUGAGGCCACAGGGAGAGGAUGAGUGGUGAGUUGGUGUUGGAUCGAUAUACACACGUUGCUUAACAUGCAACUGUCGAUCACUAUUAUACCAGUGCUUUUCUACCAAAUCAACCUCCCUCACUGGAAUAACAUCUCUAACUGAACACCUUGGUGGGAGUUGACUCAGCCUCCCAUCCCUAAGACGGAGAAUGGUGCCUCCCUAAUGGAGCUGUGAAAAAUAAUGAAAUAUAUAUAUAUAAUGUCCAAUGUGCAGUAUAUACUCAUAAAAUGUGGCUUUUAACUACGACUUUUAUAUUUCUGCUGAGAGUAUCACCUUUCUGCGGUAACCCCAGGGGCCUCGUGUUAAUCUUUGUCUUAGACUGUUACUUCCCUUCAUAUUCGGGCACCAAAUUCUAUUCAGUUUUUCUCUAAAGUGUUCAUUUCCACUGUCAGUAUUAGGACACGCACACAUUUUUUUUUUUCAUGCCCAGACCACUGUUACUGCCUGCCCACAGGAUGAAUUAAGAGAAGCAUUCGUUCGAGAAACAUUUAUUGAGCAUCUAAUAUAUGUACUGUUUAAUUCCUUGGGACAAACAACUCCUGCUCUCCUGGUACUUAUGUUCUUGUGGGUGGAGGCAGCCAAUGUGCAAAUCAACAAAGGGAUAAUCAAGAAAAAAAAAAAGUCGCUGGUGGUAAGUGAGAAACAAACACCAAAGCGGACAGUGAUGGGAGUGUGAGUAGCGGGGGCGGAGAGGAAAUGGAGACAACACAGACGAUAGAUGGUUAGGGAAGAUCUAUUUCGGGAGAAGCUACUGGAGCAGAGGUCUGAAUGACAAACAUGUCUGUCAGGGGCAGCGAGUGAAAGGGUCUUCGUGUAAGGGUGAGACAGGCCCGGUGGAAGGAUGGAGGGCAGGGCCCGUGUGGUUGUCGCAUGAGCGGGAAAGGCACAGUGACAAGAGAUGAAAUCGAAGAGGACAGUGGGACCCUAUCUUGUAGGACAAUCAGAUGGUGGAGAGCAUAGGAAGCACACUGGGUCUCAUCAGAAGCGUCUUAUUAGCUGCUGGAGGUCAAGAACAUGAUGUGACUGAUGUUUUAUAAAGCUCACUCUCCCCGCCCAGUGGAGAAUGGACCGGGGACCUGGCAGGAGGGGAAGCAGAGUAGCCUGGAGAGAGGCUGGUGGCUAGUACCACUGGAGACAGAGCAAAAAGGAAAAUACAGGAUAUGGUUUUAAGAAAAUUCCACACUCAUUUUCCCGAGGUCAUUUCUCAACUCUCAAAACUUUGUUGCCAGCUCAUUAUACUUCCCGCUGAAUGAAAUCUAAAUAAAUGUGGUUUC
This is a long non-coding RNA of Mustela erminea (ermine), 3473 nucleotides long. RefSeq lists it as uncharacterized. The transcript has 3 exons. NCBI's taxonomy places the organism in Eukaryota, Metazoa, Chordata, Mammalia, Carnivora, Mustelidae. The record is from RefSeq and is a predicted model, not a curated record.